Molecule: long non-coding RNA, 3297 nt
Organism: Naja naja (Indian cobra)
Lineage: Eukaryota; Metazoa; Chordata; Lepidosauria; Squamata; Elapidae
Source: Ensembl
AUGGCCAUUUACUUAUUCAUUUGGUGGAAAAUUAUGUUUUUAAAAGGGAAAACAUGUUACUAUAUUGGGCAAUUAAUGCUAAUACAGCUUUAUUGUUCAGUUUUGUCAAAUCAUGAAGAGUGCCAUAGUGGCCUAGAGGUGAAGAUGCUCACUUGGAAGGUUGAGAGCAGGGGUGGAGAGUUCAAUAGGGUGCAAAGAGAAAAUGCCUGCUGCAAACUCUGUGUAGGCAUCAGGAAAGGCUAUCCAGUAAAUGCUCAACUCCAUUCAGUCCCCCUGAUUCCACCCCAAAUAAAGGAUUAUGGGGUUGUAAAAGAAAAAAAGAAAAUAAAGUAGGACAAUAGAAAAAGUUAAUUUUUGUUUCUAGUGACCAGGAUUAUUACUGAAAAACACUGGAAAACUGCAUUGUUCUUUUAGUACAAUUAUAUUUGAAAGUGUAGAAAAUAGUAUUGGUUGAAAAAUUAAGACAGCACCAAGUACAAUUGGACAGUUCUUUAAUUAAAGAUAAUUUUAAUCUCAUUUGAUCUCUAUCUUUUAAUUCAUAUUAGCAAUUUUUAAUAUAGGUAGUUCUUACAACUAUUUGUUUAGUAACCAUUUAAAGUUACAACAGCACUGAAAAAAGUAACUAAUGAUUGUUUUUCACACUUAAAACCAUUGCCCCAUGAUCAUAUGAUAAAAAUUUACAGGCUUGGCGACUGGCAUGUAUUUAUGGCAGUUGCCAUGUCCCAGGGUCAUGUGAUUACCUUUUACAACCUGACAAUCAAUGGGGAAGCUAGAUUAACUUAACAACUGUGUUACUAAUUUAACAACUGCUUGUGAUUACAUGUGAUUCAUUUAACAACUGUAAUCAGAAAGAUCGUAGCAUGGGACAAAACUCACUUAACAACUGUCUUGCUUAACAACAGGUUUUGGGCUCAAUUAUUUCUGCUACAUGAAACUUCUGAGGUAGUGAAUCUGGAAAAUGAAUUUUUAAAAAUUGAAUUUUUGCUUUUGUAUAAUUUGUUUUAUUUUGUUGUUCUUUUAUAUUUUCUAUUGAACAUUUUAUAAUUUAUAUUGAAAAAUAUUUUCAAAUAUUUUUAUUUUUAAAUAAAAUUUAAUUGUAAAAUAAUAAAAUAAAACAAAACGUUUCAUUUCCCCUUUCCUACACAUGGCUUCUAAAAGUUGUCCUGUUCUAUCUGAACCAUUGCCUACCUAGAUGUAGUUUCCAUUUUGAUUUUAUCUUCAUUCUUUAUUCUUUCUCCCCUUUCCUUACAAUCACAAAGUACAGAGAUGAUUGACAAUUUAUGAAUGUAAGGGAAGAGUAGGUUGCUUAUUUAUUUAUUUAUUUAUUUUAAUUACAUUUAUAUGCCGCCCUUCUCCGAAGACUCAGGGUGGCUUACAAUUUUUGGGAUACAACCCAGUGUGCUCAGCAAUAGCCUUCAUUCCAUUGUAUAUGCCUGCUUAUUACUAAGCGGCAUUUUUACAAAGUCAGCUUAUUGCCCCCAACAAUCUUGGGUCCUCAAUUUACCUACCCCGAGAGGAUGGAAGGCUGAGUCAACCUUGAGCCUGGUGGGAUUCGAGCCUACAGUAAUUGUAGACAGCUGGAACUUAAAUGCAGGCAUUUAACAGCCUGAGCCACCAAGGCCCUUUUGAUUGUAAUGGUAUCUCAUGAAAAGAAGAAAAGUAUAUUCAGAUGGGGGAUAGAGAUAACAGUGAGCAGGAAGUUGUUCAGAGGAGAGAACAAAAAGGGAAAAUAAUUAUCAAAGAGAUGUAAAAAUGAAAGCAUAACCUCACCACAUUAUGAAUUAAAAACAGCUGUGUAAAGCAAGAGAAAAUGAGAAUGAAUUUCUAAUACUGCACUUUCAGGAAGGACAAUUAGCUAUAGUUGCCUCAUUCUUACAGUAGCCCCAUAUGUAACUACCCUCCCUGAUCCCCGAGUCAUUAUUGGGACCUGCUGCUUAGCUCACUUUUACUUUACAAGCCUCAUUCUCCAACACAAAUUCUUGUUUUCCUAAUGUGAUAUGAAUCUAUUUUUUUCCUUUUGGAAGAGAUAUGAUCAGGUCUUGUGAGUCAAGUUUGGAAGCUUUUCUUUGUCUCACUGACCUCAGUCUCCACUUCAGUUGCGUUUUCUCGUUGGAGGGUUGGAAGUGCAGUAUGUUGGCCCACUUUCUUACCCAGGGCAGACUGUGCUUGAGGCAGCCCAGUCUGCUGAUCUAUAGAGACAGUUGGAAUUACUUUGUGUUCUGAUAUUCUAUCAUUGAGAUUCUGUUUAUUUGAUUCCACCUGAAAGGUCCUCUCAAAGCAGCAUGGUUUUGUUAAGUCAAUUCCAGAUGCUCUGGGAACCCAACAAGGGGGCAGCAUGCUGGAUGUCAACUGACCUGAAAAACUAAUUGGUUUUUUAACCUGAUCCACAUGAGGCAGUAGAGAGUGGGUGGGUUCCAGAAAAUCCAUGUCUGUAAAGCUGCCCACCUCUUCAUAGACAGGCUCUGACUCAGCUGGCUCCUGCUGUUCUUGAUGCAUUUUCAUUGGCUGUAAGGGGUCAAGACAGAAAGUAUGAGAUUUGUUCUUUGGGCUCGAGGAAAAAAAGGAGGAAAAAGGUUCUGUGUUCAUGAUAGGCUGCUUUGACUUUGGGGCUUCAGUUGAGGAUCUUAUUGUAUAGGCUAAGCCAAACAAGCUACUCAGAGAUCUGUGCAUAGGCUUAAGUUAGACAGCAAGAACACUUGGGAUCAACCAAAACUAAUAAAAAUGUUUGUUUGGCCUUGUGCUUUGGAGAUCAACUAAUAAUUACUUUUUGCUGUUUUGUGUUUUAGAUUCUAACUAAAGGCCUCAGUGCUUUUUGAAAGAUUUUUUUAGUUGAAGGCAAAUCAGAACAUUCUUGGGGGGGGGGGGCUUCAAAUCAGUCUUGGUUCCUGGUGACUGCCUGGGGAUAUCCCUGCAAUUUUCUUGGCAAGUUUUCAGGAGCGGUUUUUUUGUGUUAUUAUUCCCCAUGUAAAUGUUUUCAUUUUAAGUCAUAUUUAAAAAAUACAAUUUUGUAGCCAUUUUUUAAGAUGCUCUAGGAAUUGCACCCAAAAUGUCUUACAGUUAUUUGUAGCUCAGGAAUAUCCAGUUGUGCACUUCUGGUUUAAGAGCUGCCUUCAUAGCCCCAAUGUAAGAAUUCAUAUGGAAUUUAUAAUAUACUGAACUAUGGCUUUAAUAAAUCAACAAAUACUUACAAAGAACAUGGACAAUAUCCUUCGGGUGUGUAAGCGAUGCUGAAUGCAAAAGAAGAAAAAGUAGACAGAUGAAGCUGUAACAAUUUAUCCACAGAAAAGCAGGAAAAUA